RNAcentral lists this ribosomal RNA (253 nucleotides) under uncultured bacterium. RNAcentral's name for it is "partial 16S ribosomal RNA". It matches the Rfam family "Bacterial small subunit ribosomal RNA", at positions 524 to 776 of the family's 1533-position model. The record is from RNAcentral.
UACAGAGGACUCAAGCGUUGUUCGGAUUCAUUGGGCGUAAAGGGUGCGUAGGCGGCGCGGUAAGUCAGGUGUGAAAUCUCGGGGCUCAACCCCGAAACUGCACUUGAUACUGCGGUGCUCGAGUACUGGAGAGGAGAUUGGAAUUUACGGUGUAGCAGUGAAAUGCGUAGAUAUCGUAAGGAAGACCAGUGGCGAAGGCGAAUCUCUGGACAGUUACUGACACUGAGGCACGAAGGCCAGGGGAGCAAACGGG